Molecule: ribosomal RNA, 117 nt
Organism: Sinocyclocheilus grahami
Lineage: Eukaryota; Metazoa; Chordata; Actinopteri; Cypriniformes; Cyprinidae
Source: Ensembl
GGCCACAGCCAUAUCACCCUACAGCCCAAGACUGGUUGCCCACUGAAGCUAAGCAGGGUUGAGCCUGGUCAGUACCUGGAUGGGAGACCUCCUGGGAAAACUAGGUUGCUGUUGGAA